This 200-nucleotide ribosomal RNA is filed under the name uncultured bacterium. RNAcentral describes it as "partial 16S ribosomal RNA". It matches the Rfam family "Bacterial small subunit ribosomal RNA", at positions 137 to 337 of the family's 1533-position model. The record is from RNAcentral.
UAGGGAAUAGCCCAGAGAAAUUUGGAUUAAUCCCCUAUAAUAUCAAAAAUUCGCAUGAUUUUUUGAUUAAAGUUUCGACGGUAAAAGAUGAGCAUGCGUCCUAUUAGUUUGUAGGUGAGGUAAUGGCUCACCUAGACUACGAUAGGUAGGGGCCCUGAGAGGGGGAUCCCCCACACUGGUACUGAGACACGGACCAGACU